UGGGGAAUAUUGGACAAUGGGCGCAAGCCUGAUCCAGCCAUGCCGCGUGAGUGAUGAAGGCCCUAGGGUUGUAAAGCUCUUUCACCGGUGAAGAUAAUGACGGUAACCGGAGAAGAAGCCCCGGCUAACUUCGUGCCAGCAGCCGCGGUAAUACGAAGGGGGCUAGCGUUGUUCGGAUUUACUGGGCGUAAAGCGCACGUAGGCGGACUAUUAAGUCAGGGUUGAAAUCCCGGUGCUCAACCCCGGAACUGCCUUUGAUACUGGUAUUCUUGUGUUCGAGACAGGUGAGUGGAAUUCCUGGUUGAGAGGUGAAAUUCGUAGUUAUUCGGAGGCACUCCAGUGGCGAAGGCGGCUCACUGGCUCGAUACUGACGCUGAGGUGCGAAAGCGUGGGGAGCAAACAGG
RNAcentral lists this ribosomal RNA (404 nucleotides) under Actinomycetes bacterium. RNAcentral's name for it is "Actinobacteria bacterium partial 16S ribosomal RNA". It matches the Rfam family "Bacterial small subunit ribosomal RNA", at positions 355 to 776 of the family's 1533-position model. Lineage: Bacteria; Bacillati; Actinomycetota; Actinomycetes. The record is from RNAcentral.